Molecule: transfer RNA, 66 nt
Filed under: Acacia eriopoda
Lineage: Eukaryota; Viridiplantae; Streptophyta; Magnoliopsida; Fabales; Fabaceae
Description: partial tRNA-Leu
Source: RNAcentral
AAAAUCCGUCGACUUUAGAAAUCGUGAGGGUUCAAGUCCUCUUAUGUUAACAUGGCUCUAUCCCCA